AAUUUCAAGUCAUGUGAUAAUAUCAAUAUUAAUAAUAGCGCCAGUAGUAUUGAUCAAACUACACCGACAACAGAUAUGCUUGUUGUUUGUGGAAAUGGAAUGAUAAAUAAUAAUAAUGAAUUGGAUUAUGACAAUAUACAAAAUUGUAGAAAGAAAAAGGAGACAGGUUAUUAUAAUCAUGAUCUUAUGUAUAAUUAUAUUAAUAUUGAUGAUGAAUUUCUUGCGGAAAUGAUAAAUACUAACAGUAUAUUAAAUAUAAAUUAUAUGAGUGACGAUAAUAUCGAUCGUAACACAUGUAUAAACAACAAUGUAGAACCCAAUUCAUACCUAAAUAACAGUGUAGAACCGAACACAUGUAUAAGCAACAAUGUAGAACCUAACACACGCAUAAGUGGCAUUAUCGGACGUAAAAUCAAUAUGAACAAUAUAAACCGUAUGAAUAGUAUGAACAGCAUAAGCAGUAUGAACGAUAUAAACAGAAUGAAUAGUAUAAACAGUAUGAACAGUAUGGAUAAUAUAAACAAUAUGGACAGAAUGAAUAGUAUGGACAGAAUGGACAGUAUGGACAGAAUGGACAGUAUGGACAGAAUGAACAGUCCGGAAAGAAUGAACAGUAUGGACAGAAUGAACAGUAUGGACAGAAUGAACAGUAUGGACAGAAUGAACAGUCUGGAAAGAAUGAACAGUAUGGACAGAAUGAAUAGUAUGGACAGAAUGAAUAUUAUGGACAGAAUGAAUAGUAUGGACAGAAUGAAUAGUAUGGACAGAAUGAACAGUAUGGAUAGAAUGAACAUUAUGGAUAGAAUGAACAUUAUGGGUAGAUUGAACAGCAUGGACAGAAUGAACAGUUUUAACAGUCUGAACAGCCUGGACAGUGUUAACAGUAUGAACAAUAUAAACAGAAUAAACGGCAUGAACAGAAUGAACAGCAUGAACAGUAUGAACGGUAUGGAUAGAAUGAACAGUAUAAACAGCAUGAACAGUAUAAACAUUAUGAACAGCCUGAAUAACAUAAGCAACAUUAACAGAACUAACAGUAACAACAGCAACAGCAACAACAGCAACAGCAACAACAGCAACAGCAACAACAGCAACCACAACAACAACAAUAAUAGCAAUAACAAUAACAACAAAAACAACAGUAACAACAAUAACAACAGUAACAACAAUAACAACAAUAACAACAGUAACAACAAUAACAAUAACAGUAACAACAACAACUUGUACUCUUCCGAAAAUGUAGAAGAAAUUAAUAACUUGCAUAACGAAAACUAUGGAUAUUACUUAAAUAGCAACACUAAUGAUACUAAUAUAUGUAUUAACUACAUGGAUAAUAUUUAUAACUAUCAAAAUAACAACCACUCAAUUGAAAGUGACCAUUGUACAAGUACUGAAAGUACUCCAAACAAAACAGAUCAUAGUUCCUCAAGCGAAGAAAAUAAUUAUUUAAGCGAUUCGACAAAUUAUAUGAGUACAAUAAAUAUGUAUACUCAUAAAGUAUCAUCAUAUAAGAACAACUUGUGCAAAGAAAACAAUUGUCCAGACAACAAUAGUGAUGAUAGUUAUCACAAGAAUUACAAACCAUAUAUCGAAUCCGAGUGUAAUAAUAAUGUC
Long non-coding RNA from Piliocolobus tephrosceles (Ugandan red Colobus), 1614 nucleotides. The record is from Ensembl. NCBI's taxonomy places the organism in Eukaryota, Metazoa, Chordata, Mammalia, Primates, Cercopithecidae.